This 485-nucleotide ribosomal RNA is filed under the name Halomonas sp. M10-C4. Its description in RNAcentral is "bacterial SSU rRNA". It matches the Rfam family "Bacterial small subunit ribosomal RNA", at positions 1 to 483 of the family's 1533-position model. Lineage: Bacteria; Pseudomonadati; Pseudomonadota; Gammaproteobacteria; Oceanospirillales; Halomonadaceae. The record is from RNAcentral.
UAGAGUUUGAUCAUGGCUCAGAUUGAACGCUGGCGGCAGGCCUAACACAUGCAAGUCGAGCGGAAACGAUGGAAGCUUGCUUCCAGGCGUCGAGCGGCGGACGGGUGAGUAAUGCAUGGGAAUCUGCCCGAUAGUGGGGGAUAACCUGGGGAAACCCAGGCUAAUACCGCAUACGUCCUACGGGAGAAAGCAGGGGAUCUUCGGACCUUGCGCUAUCGGAUGAGCCCAUGUCGGAUUAGCUUGUUGGUGAGGUAAUGGCUCACCAAGGCGACGAUCCGUAGCUGGUCUGAGAGGAUGAUCAGCCACAUCGGGACUGAGACACGGCCCGAACUCCUACGGGAGGCAGCAGUGGGGAAUAUUGGACAAUGGGCGAAAGCCUGAUCCAGCCAUGCCGCGUGUGUGAAGAAGGCCCUCGGGUUGUAAAGCACUUUCAGUGGGGAAGAAAGCCUUGGGAUUAAUACUCCCGAGGAAGGACAUCACCCCAG